CCUUGGAAACAAUCAAACUACUGAAAGAAGGAGCAUAGAAGAUUAACCACAAGACGGUAUACCACAAGUAUACCAGGUUAUCUCUAUUAAAGAGUGCAAAGUUUCUCUCUUAGCUGAGCUAUUUGUUUCUGUUGGCAUGGAAAUGCAUUCCAUUUUAGAACCUUCAGCUUAUACUUGGUGAAAGUUUUUAAUUGCUUUCGGGACUACUGCAGACAUUUCUGGUUAAUUCGAGAAGCAACUUAUUAUUCUUUGUAUGGAGCUCCUUUGUCAUCAUGUUAUUUUAAUAUUUGCAUUCUACCUUUUUAUGACUACUUUCUAUCUCAUGCAGCUUGAAGAUGGUUUAAAGUUAUCUUUCACUGAUAAAAGGCGCCUUGCAAAAGUUUGCUUACUUCAAGAUGUAUUGUCCAUUGCCCCAAUAUGUCCAUCUUUCCUAUAGAUUCUUACAUCUUUAGCGUCAUUAUAACUCUUCACCAAUUUGUUGGUGCCGCCAACUUCUGUACCUCCAAUAGCCGAGCUUGGUCUGGAUGCAUUGUUAGAGCCUAUGAAGGUGGAGGAAUUUGUAGAUUCUUUGAGCAAAAAGAAAAUUGCAAUUAAAGCUCUACUACUCGAUCAGGCCAGAAUUCAUCCCCUGCAGGUUGCUGCAACUUUGUCAAAGGAGAGCUGUGAAACUUUACAUCGCUGCAUCAAAGAGACACUAUUUGUAGGUUGCCAAUUAUGCCCUUGAAGUUGUUGCUGAUUCCAAUUCUUUUCCAAUUGAAUGGUUGUUUCAUUUUCGAUUGGGGAAAAAGUCUGGAAAAGUUAAUGGUAAGUUUCUCAAUGUAUAUGACUGUCUUGACCAUAAGUCAUUUAUUCUACAGGUUAUUGAGAAAGUUGUGGAAGUUGGAGCAGAUAGUAGGUGAUUAUCAUUUGUAGAUGUACAUGUACACUACUGCUCUUAAUAAAAAAACAAAAACAAAAUCAUCAACUCCUUUUUUUUAUGUGAUACUGGCACAAUUAGGCCAAAUCGUAAUGCACAGGACAAAUGUUGUCUUAA
This is an RNA transcript of Asparagus officinalis (garden asparagus), 1033 nucleotides long. It is a transcript of the gene named formamidopyrimidine-DNA glycosylase-like, with no coding region annotated. The transcript has 3 exons. NCBI's taxonomy places the organism in Eukaryota, Viridiplantae, Streptophyta, Magnoliopsida, Asparagales, Asparagaceae. The record is from RefSeq and is a predicted model, not a curated record.